AACAGAACAAUAUCACCAAAAAUAUAGACAUGGUCCUCGAACCAUGAGGACUCACCACUGAGGAAACGUAGUUGAGGUACUCAAAUAUCGCUAACACAGCUGCGGCUGAGUACCUGAACCUACAUUAUGAGAAAAUAUAGCCCAUAGAAAAAUUUUUGGGUCAACUCUUUGGAAUGUACUGAGUAUGUGGGGGCGCAUGCAACAAUGUAAAUAUCAUCAUCAAUUUCAUGAAAAUAUGCAUAUGUACAAUGAUGGCUCACUUGGCUUGAGUUAGAUUGAAACAUACGUUGCAUGAUCUCAUAGUAAAUAAAUCAUAUGAUAAAAACCUCAUAAAUCAUCAUAAACAACUCAACUCUUUAACUCAAGACACGGAGUGACUCGUAAUUCAAGAAACUUAACUCUUAUGGACAUGGGAGGUUCUUAUAACCAACAUAAACCAUGUGAGCUACAUGGAAUCCAACAUUUUUCCCUCCUAUGGAGAGAUCCCCACAUUGGCAGGAGCAUCAUACUCUUGCCAGGGAGUACAACCUAAAUUUAGUGAUCAUAAUCUCAUACUCAGACUCUGGACCACAAUUAUCAAUAUCAAUCCUACGGUGACACAUAGUUUUGGGGAAAAUACCACAUUUCCCACCGGUGCUAAAUACUACUGCUAGACACAAGCUCAAAACGCGUUAGGAAUCCACCACAAACAUCACAAGGGUCUAUCAUGAAGACCAAAUCAAAUCGCUUUCUCAUUUAUCAAAUCACAAUCAAUUUAUGGAUUUCUAACUUGGCUUAAAUCAAAUUAAUAUUUCUCAAUAUCAAAAUGUGUCAAUUCAUUAAAUCAUGACAACAUCAAUAACUUUGAGGAAAUAUCAAGACUCAUUGUAACAACUAAAUCUCAUGAAUUAAUAUACUCAAUAAUCUAGUUUGUCAUAAGGAAUCUUAAAGCUUGACAAAUAUCUUGACAGUACUUGAAAUAUCAACUCAUGGUAGAAAUAUGAAAUUCACAAUAUUAAAUGUCAAGUAAUACCUUGGGAAUAGUAAAAUAAUCAUGUAUAACAAAGCUUGAAGAAUUUAUAUUCUCAUAGUCUCAUGCUGAAGUAAUUUGGGUAUAAACCUACUUGCAAAAUUAUAUAAAUCCAUGAUAGGAAUCAAAGCUUUGGGCAUAAGAACGAAAGCAUUGCUCUUGUUCAAAAUCCCACAUACCUUGGAUUAUAACUUUAAGAUGAAAAGAAUUGAUUGGAAACUCUUCUUUAAACUUUUGAGCUAAGUUUCUUGAUGCCUUUGACUUGGAGAACUUGAUUCUUCAAAAACUUGGUGAAAUCUAUGAAAAAAUUCUUGAAUUUCUUGAAGAAGAUUUGAUUUGGAUUUGGAAGAGAGAAACCAUAGUUCUAGAUAUUUCUUGGAAGAGAAAUGGAGAAGAAUGGAUUUCUCUUCUCUACUUGAAUCUAUAUAUUGAGGGCCAAACUGGGCGGAAAGACCAAAAUGCCCUUGAGUAAAUUCUAAUACUGUAGCCCGAUUUUUGGCCUUGGAGCGGCACUCCAUGAUCGCAAUCCUUCACUGGAUUUUGGUAAACUGAGAAUUUGCUUUGUAGGGCGAUGCAGUGAAAUCGUGUUGCCCCUUGGUUAUGACCUGAAAGGGCACCGCGACACGGUGGAAUCACGUUGGUGCACUAGAAUUUGACAAUCCUGAUAUUGAGCCUUGGCGCGAUGCGGUAAUAUCAUGGAGGCUAACUGAAAAGUGAUAAUUGGGAUAUUACUCAUCUCCGCGACAUGCUGAGGGUCUAAAUAGCAAAGUUUCCCAACUGGGACUUCAGAUAGUCAUAACUUCUUGCUCCGAUCUUCGAUUUUGAUGAAAUUGGUAUCGACGGAAAGCUUAUUCAAAUAUCCACAUGAUAGAAAGUAGAAAUUAGGGGAAUAAAACAUGGUUUAAACAACAUUCACUUUGUAAGUCUUUUCCAUUUGCUCAAAAGACGAAUUUAGGCUUACGAAAUGGUCGGGGUAUUACAUACCUUUACAAAGAAAUUUGGUUAAAAAUAGGUGAAAAUCACCCAAAUCCCCUAAGCCCUUCCCAAAAUGAUUUUAUAAAUAAUAAACCAUUUUUGGGUACUUUUCUGCAUAAAUCUACAUAUAUCCUGCUAUUUUAACCUUGCUAUAUUAGAAUUCACUACUAUGGUAAAACUAAUCUAUGUUGACUGCCGCUAUAGUGAGAAACUUUACGAAAUAUCAACAUUAUCAUAGCAACCUGCCACCUGCUAUAGCAGGUGUGGUGAGGCAAAAGCUCUAGAUUGCUCUUAAUUUUUCCUUUUCCUCAAUCCACCCCCGAACUGUGACAUUCCGGACUAACUCCUUUAUAUUUGAUUUGAUAUCGGGAGUUCUACUUACCCGAAUUCACUUUCAAAAACUCCUACGAAUUCUUUAUCUUCUUACCUAACAUAAAAAUAAGCUAAAUCUUUUCACAUUUACUAAAUUUGUAUUCAUAUUUUCCUAGACUAUGCCUUACUCGGAUUUCAUCCAAGGCUAGCCUAGCCUAAUAUUUUUAACUCCCAACACGGUGAAAAACUUAUCCCAAAUUUUGUAUGCCAGACUCACCUGUAACUACGAAAAGUGUUGUUACAAUAGACUUAUAGAUUGCUUGGAUUAAUUAUCGAAUUGAAUUAUGUUGUUAUUUCAAAUACCAUAUAUUUCUAUUUUUACUUAUAUUUUAAUGUAUUAUAUCCUUAAAUUUAUUUAUUGAAAAAGACAAAAUUUUUCAUUUUGUGUGAUGAGCGACUUGGUGUCACCCCAUCAUUACCUUAUUUGUUUUUUCAUAUAUCUUCAUUUUCCUAUUUAAAUAAUGAUCGAUUUCAUAUGGAACAUGAAUAUAUGUGAUUUAUCAAAAUGUCAGCUUAGGAUAUUUUGUUAUCUUAUGUAUAAAAUAUGAUUUGUUUGUUUAGUAAGAUUAUAUAAGAAUUGAGAAAAUUUUGAUAGUUUUCACAAUUUAUUAAAUUCUCAUGUUUAAAAAAAAUAUACAACUUUAAGAAAUCCAAAUUGCAUUUCCAUACAAACUUCAACUUCAUAUCAUUUUAUUUGAAGGAAUCCAUCUAUAAAUACCUAAUGUUAGCAUGACACUUUACUUAAAAAACACAACUAAUUCUUGUACCAUUUAAACAUCUAAAGUAAGUUCAAUUUUUGUCAUUUUGACACUUUCACUUGGAUUGUUAUCUGAUUUUUCACCUCAAAUAUGCAUGUGAAGAGCCUAAAAAUAGAUUUGUUGUGUUCUUAUUCUUUUUAUUUCCUUCUUCUUCUUUAUUUUUUUCUCUUUCUUCUUUACUUAAUAUUCUAUCAUUAACAAUAUUUCACCAUUGUUAUUUUAUCUACCGAAGUAAAUGGAAACCAUCUCUAUUUACUAAAAAUAUGUGACAUUUUUUUUGUAAAAUAUUAAUCAAAAGAUGAAUUUUAAGUUCGUAAAAUAAAUUAGCCAGAAAAGAAUAUCACCCUACCCUUAUUCUUCUUUUCUUUAUUUUUUCUUUACCAUUAUGUCUGUCACUACACACCACUAAUCCGUGUUGCUAUUUUUAUUACUAAUGAUACCACUAAAACUUUAAUAAUUAACUUUUAAAAAAAAUUAACUCACUUACAAAUUAUAUAGAAAAACCAUGAAAGAUCUAAAUGCAUGCACAAAGUCAGAGAGAUGCAACAUAAUCUUACAACACUUGACACAAAAAGAGCACUUGCCAAUUCUUUAUGUCAAAGAUACAAUUCAGCUUAAACAACCUUUUUUCAUUCAUAUGAACCAAUGACAUUUAGAGAUUCGAAAUAGCCAGCUAUGUGAAAUUGGACCAUGAGUGUUAACAAAAUAAGGAGGGGUGCCUAUUUUCCAAAAUCCACAAAUAAACAAGGAAUUAGCCAAUGCUUUCUAUAGUCUAAUCGAGUAACACACAAAAACAAAACCUAAGCAUGCUGAUUCUCCUAGAUAACAACCGAGGGAAAAGAAAAAUGGUGAUAAAAACUCGUGAAUGUUGGCAGAUCCAUAGGUACUCCACCCCGACCAAAGAAACAUACAUUAACCGUAAUGCUUCCAAUCAAUAAAUAAGAACUAGGAGAAAGGAAUACCUAUGAACCUUUAAGAUUUAAUGUCUAGCAAGUCUGUGGAGGCCAUAGUAGCCUCAAUAUCUACAAUAGUGACCCCAGUGUCAACUGGAGUACUCAAACCAUCCACAACCUUCUCGAUCACCAGAGUGACAAUAGGCAACAUCAAUAGUGUGAACCCAACUCUAGCUAUCAAGAUAGAAGAAAAUCCCAUUAUCCAGUAUUGUUCACUCUUCUGCAACAAUUUCUCAUCUUUCCUGGAGGCUUUCAUAGCCUUCUAUAAUUCUCUCUUCUUAGGUGUCUCAUCCUAAUAGUUUUUUCUCUUAGAUUUUCUCUUUCCUUUACCUUUACUUGGUGCCUUGUCCUUACCACAUUAAAUUAAGUAUUUAGUUAUCAUUAUCUGAUUCAUAAUUGAGCGAUUAGGAAAUCUAGUAAUGGGGGCCUUUUUCAAUGUGGCAAUGUUAUCUUGAGCCUUUUUAAAUUCGGUGGUGAACUUGGACACAUUUAGAAUUGAGAAUUCUAUUAGCAUGUGAUUCACCCUCUAAUGCACAUCAUCUAUAUGGGAAUGUAGAUUAGCAUAUGACUUCUAAGUCUCUGCAACAACUACAUCCAUAAGUGGAUUUAACUACUUAGCCUAAGUAUCCAACUACUUUUCAAAUUACUUUUACUUCUUGACCACCACUCAUAAAAUUUUUAGGUUGUGAAUUGAUAUUUAUAAUAAUCAUAUGGUAUGGAGGCAGAGUAUGUAGUCUCAACAAUGAGGGAUAUAACAACUGUCUCAGAUACAACAGAAGCAUACUAUGAGAGUACCAGAUGCCUCUAGAGUGGUUUGAGACUGAGGUCCAAAUUAUGGCAGCUUAUAAACCAUUAACUCAAACUUUGUCUUAUCUCUGGUCUUGUCAAUGUCUUACUUAUUUAUGGAUCAUACUUCAUUAUCCACUCUACUGAUGUUUGACACUUUUGCCUGUAUACAUCGCUCUAUGAUUAUACAAAGGAAUGGCAAUGAAUUUGCAAUCUUGACAGCCUAUACAAAUAGCUUAUGACUAAUAAAUUAGCCAAAGUUGAUUUUUAGUCAUUCCACCAAACAUAUAGUUAUUAUAGCACAUUGCUCAUCUAGGUUGGUAUCACUAGCUAUAGGCAUCAAUCAUAACCUAAUCACAACCUACUGGAACUUUUUUAUGAAACUCAGGGAUGAUUUGGCUAACUAUUCUUUACUUUUUAACCAUAAGGGAUCUCUACUCUCUAUCAAUAUCUGAGCCAUCUAUGGAUGCUGAGUAGAAAGUUAAUCAAACUCUUGGGGUGAUAGCUGGCGGUGCCUAAAAUUUCCCCUAUGAAAUAUGAUUGAUUGUACGCUCAGAGGUGUCCAUAAAAACCCCACGAAUCAUAACUCUCUCACCAAAUUUUCCAUGUCACUAACCUUUUUACCGUUUGGGAAAUCCUUCUUGAGCAUGGCCAAGUAGUUUGUAUAACAUUCAUGGAUGAUGGUAGGGUAAUAAGUCUCAAGUGGUAUACUCAGAAGGCCUAACUCAUACUCAUUGAAUUGUCGUUCAAUGUCUAGAUACUCUAGCAGGUCAGUUGUUACUAUAUGAUAUUCCUUAGAAAAUGACCUCUUCAUGCUUCUUGACUUGGUUGGUUCAAUUCCAUCAAAGUAAUGUAUUUUUGCCCCAUCAACCUGCCACCUAAUGUACUUUUGCACCCCAGGAUUUUUUCUUUGAAUUACGUCUCUAUUUUUUGUUCAAGUUCCUUUUUUGGACUAUUAGCAACUUCAGUUUAAUCCUUUUCAUAUGGGUUAGUGCUAGAACUAUUACUGCUCUCCCCAUCACUACUUUAUUUCUCACUUGACAACCCAUCUUUCUCUUUAGAUUGGGAGUUUUGAGUGUGUUUGCUAUCACUUUGCCUAGUGUUGUAGGCUAGUGCCUCUAUAUCCUCAAACUCAUUAUCUAGUUCAUAUCUAAGUCUCGAGGGUUAGGUAUAUCUUUCUUUCCUUUUCCUUGCUCUACCUUUUGUUGUUUGAAGAUUUUAAGGCAUGUUACCAAUAAAGAGAAACAAUUAAACAUUGCACAAAACAAAAAGCAUCAAUUAAUAUUGCACUAUAAUAACAUUGCAUCUUUUUGAUGAUUAGGGGUAACGAUUCGUCACAUAGGUGAUGACUCGCCAACCUUUUUUGUUAGUUCUUUCUAUAUUAUUAACCAUAUAUUAAGGAUGACCUUGACAAGUUGUCAUAAGUCUGAUGGUUUGUUAGAUGAACCAUUAGACAAAAAUAAAAUACUACAUAACUUUCUCUCUUUUGGUGGUUUAGCUUGGUGAUCCAUCACCUUUGUGAUAGUUCAUCACCUGAGUCGUCAAUAUUUUCCAACAAAUUAUUUAUUCAAUUGGAGUUUUAUCAAAUGUAUGAUGCACAUAUAAGAUCCAUAAAAUUUUAACAAUUUUUUUUGACCUCAUCGCGUGCAUAAUGUUAAUUUUUGACUUGAAUUAUGAUUUGGGAUGUUAAAAGGGUGUUUUGGGAAAAUUUUGAAUUUUUAAAAGGAGUUCAGGGUUAUUUUGAGAUGUCGAGGCAAUAAAACUCUAUGAUAGUAGUAUGCCACAGAAGGUUAACCUUUGUAAUAAGGGCGUGGCAUGGAGGCUAACCUCCGCAAUAAGGAUGUACCUCGCUCCUAUGUUAAAUUCAUUUAGUUUUUAUUUUUUUCACUUGGGGUGAGGGCCUUUUAGUAUUUUUACCACUUGUUCAACUUAUAAACAUAAAAUAACCCUCUUCCCUUCAGUUUUAAAAGAUCAAAAUCCUUUGUUUUCCUCUUUAACUGAAAACCCAAGAACAUUCAAGGGUUUUACAAGAAAUCACUACUCUUGGCUCCAAACUUCAAUUUUUAUUCAAAUUCUUUAGUAUUUCAAGUAUGUUUCUCAUUCCUUAACUUUAAUUUUACAUUGUGUCAUUAAUUUGUAAUAUGCAUAUGACUUAAAUUGAUGGUUUUAAAAUUGGGUUAAGGGCUUUUGGUUGUUUUUACAUGAAGUACUUGUCCCAUGUUUUAAAUGAAUUAUUUAUGUUUUAAUUGAUGAUUUUAGGAAUGAAUUGGUGCAUCGCUGAUGGUAGGAAUGGGGGACAUGAAUUUCCCCAAUUUGACAAAAGUUUGGCUUGAUAAUGACAUUAACCUCAACCCACUUUGUAAUCUUGAUUUUGAACAUGAAUAAUUGCAUAAUUUAACUUGUCUUUUGUAGUCACUUCAUUGUAUUAAAGGAUAAAUGGAUAAAUAUGGUUUUGGAAAGCCUUGAUGGCCAUGGUUUUGGAUUUUGAAUGGAGAUUGGGAGUCAAACAAUUAUGUGGAUUGGUUUGGCAUAAUUGAAUUAGCUUGCAAAUAUAUUAAUAUGGUGAUAACAAGUUGGUAAAUGCCUUAAUGAAGGACUCCUGGGUUACUGGUUAGCUUAUGUGAAAACUAUUUUAAUUUGGUCUUAAAGAAAAUUAUGUAGCUCACCGUAAAGGUGUAGGUCCCGAGGGGAUCAAAACUGGAAACAACCUUUGUCGGCAUUGGGGGUCUAUAUGACCGUAUUCUUGGUGCACACAUUAUGUAUGCAUAUAUAUAUAUGGGAGGGAUAUAAACUUGGUGCCUUUAUCCCUUUCCUUGAUUUUCCUCGAUUCUUACAACUAACACACACUGAUGCCCUUCCAGUAGGGGGAUCUUGUCCCAUAUAUUCCAUGGGUUCCUUUAGGACAGAGCAAGCUACAUAGGUCAGGCUAACAUUUUAAACUCUCACAUUUAUGAAUCUUGUCCCUAUCCCUACAUGCUAUAUACAUAUACACACACACGAAUGUGGUGCAUAUGGUUUACAACUGGAUUUUGGUAAAUACAUUAUUUUAUCCCUAUACCCUGAGUUACAUGCUAGUGCUCGUCCUAUUGACCGUCCUUGAACACUGCAUCAUUUUAUGAUUUGGGUUCGGAGGACUUUUUUAGUGCUCCUGUGUAGUGUUAGGUGGUUGAGUACUUCUGUUGAUUAUCUAUAAAGUGGUGAGCCUUUAUCCAAGGCUUGGCCAUUUCAUUGGUUUCAUUACUAUUUUAGUCUUUCUUUUGGACCCUUUUUGGUAUUUUUGGAUUAGAUGCUUUUGUGGACAGAAGUGGGAUAUUAUUGAUGUCUUGUUUUGACUCUUACAUUUUCUUUUGGUAUCAUUUAUAUAUCAUUUGUUUGGUUGGCUUCCACUGUUUAAUAUUAAUGUGCUCUUGAGGUAAGCCUAAGAGGGUGGUCUCCAGUCCAUGGUAAGCUUGAGAUUACCUGUCAAGGCCAUGCCUGAGUUCAUGCCAUGAUACACACCUUCUACUUUUUAUUUAGAAUUCCGAGUUUCAACUUAUUUUUACAUUUCCAAUCAGACAAGUAUCAAGCUUGUACCCGAGUUACAAAGACCACCCAUUGGUUUCCCAAAACUCAAACUUGAGUACAACACAACCCUUUUUGAGUUUAGGCACAAAUAGUGGUGGCUAUGUUGUCCUUAAUUCAAUAAUCAUAUAAAAUAAAAACGAGUAAAAAAUAUGUACACUAAAUUGAGAUCAAAAUGACUUUGAGCACAUCUAAGAGUUGGAUGAAUAAGAAAAACUCCUGUCAAAGAUCUUAAGCACAACGCUAUGUUUUUGGAAAAAGAAAUAGGUUUUAUGGGAUUUGGAUGGGGUAGAGAUUAGAUUUUGUAGUGGCUUUGUUUGAGAAAUGGAAAUGAAUGAGCAUGGGUGAGGUAACCGUUAUAGGAGUUAUGGUUUUUUUAACAAUGGGAAGUUAUUAUGGUAAGGGAAAGGACUUAAGAUAGCAAUCCGAUCAAUUAACUUGUACUAUAAAAAGGCUUUGGUUAGAAUAGGGUUUUGGUUUUUGUUUAGGUUACUAUUGGGUUAAGGUUUUAUUAUUGUUGGAUUCAAGUUGUUUCGGGUAUGCGUUUGAGUUAUUGAAUUGAAAUUAAAAUGAUAAGUGAACUUACUCGUGACACUUAGGCUGAUGGUCCGUCAAGUAACUGAAGGUUCACUAAGUGCAUCAUCAGGAUUAAGUGGAUUGUAUUACAAGUAAGAUAGCUCUAAUGGUUGGGUUGCUGGUUCAUCAUCAUAGUGAUGGUUCGUUGCAUGAACCAUCAACCCUUAAUCAAAAUGACUCAUUUCUUGACCCUUUGUGUCGGUUUCGUUGAUGGUCCAUCAGAGCUUUGAUGGAUCAUUGAGUGGUCCACCAUACCUUAACCAGAAUGAUUGACUUUCUUAUAUUUUAUGGUAUCUCAUUAUGGUUUGCCAGUUCAGUGAUGGCUCAUCAAAAUGACCCAUCAACCUUAAACAAUAUCCAAUUUAAAUCUUCUUCUCUUAUAAUAACUUAGCCUUCACACUUAGCACACACAUCAACUAUGAUCAUGAUUAACAACCAACAAAAAAAUUAUUCUACAACAACAAAAUAUGGGUUGCCUCUCACUAGAACUUGAUGUAAUGUCAUGAUAUAAGUCGGGUAUGUUGACUACUCAGACGUCGUUAAGAUACAAUAAUGGCAACAUCUUUACUUUUUUAGAUGGGCCAAUAAUUUCUUGAUUCAUUGACCAUUCACUUUAGACAUCUUUCCAUCCUUAUUUUCCAACUGUACUACACCAGAUAGAUACACCCAACCACUUUAAAUGGUAUGGACCAUUUGGAUUUCAACUUUAUGGAAAAUAACUUAAACCCCGAGAUGAACAAUAACACUAAGUCACCCGCUUUGAAAUCUCUCUUGUCAAUCCUCCUGUCAUGGUACAACUUUAUUGUUUCCUUAUAGAGGGCAGCCCUUUCACAAGCACAAAGUUAAAGCUCAUCCAUUUUAUUCAACUGUUACAACCUAAAGUCAGCAACCUCAUUUCAACUCAGAUUAAGCUUUUAGAGUGUACACAAGGCUUUAUGCUCAAGUUCUACCAUCAAAUUACAAGAUUAACGAAAGACUAUUUGGUAAGGAGACAUACCUAUUGGUGUCUUGAAAGUAGUGAAAUAAUCCCUUAGAGCAUCAUCAAGUUUUAGGGACCAAUCACUUUGAUUAGUUUUCACAAUUUUGGCCAAUGUCAUCUUGAUUUAUUGAUUUGAUAUUUUUACUUGUCUACCAGAUUGUGGAUGAUAUGGAGUUUCCACUUUGUAUUGUUUCACUCCAUACCUAGCUAGAUCUACACAAAAAACCUUUUUGCAUAAGUGGGAUCCUCUAUCACUGAUAAUUGUGUGAGGAGUACAACAUUAAAAGAAAAUGUUAAUUUUCAAGAACGUCACCACACUGUUGCCUUUAUUAUCUGCUUCGGCCAUAGAUUCCACCCAUUUGGACACAUUGUCCACUACCACCAGGAUAUACUUCUAACCAUAGGAACUCACAAAUGGACCCAUAAAAUUUUUUUCACACAUGUCAAAUAAUUCCACCUCUAACAUCUCGGACAUGGGAAUUUCCUGAUGUUGCAAGAUUGAUCCCUCUAGCUGGAAUUGAUCAUAAGCUUUGACAAAGUCAUGGGUAUAUUUGUGAAUAGUGCUCUAGUAAUACUCACUCUACAAUAUCUUUCUAGCCAUGGGAUCAUCUGCAUGAUGUCCCCUCUAGGGAUGAGUGACAGGCUUGCAAAAUACUUAGCGUUACAAACUUUGGCAUAUAUCUCCAAAUGAUAUUAUCAACACAUGAUAUAAACAUAUAAGGUUCAUCCCAAAAGUAAUUUCUCACAUCAUGUAUAAAUUUAUUUCUUUGAUGGAAGCUCAAGUCUUUUGGGACCAUGUCACUAACCUAGUAUUUAGCAAAAUCUGCAUAGCAGGGUAUCAGGUAAAGAGAAGUGGAAAGUCUUUGUUCAUUCAUAAAUAAAUAAUCAAUCUAUAAUUUAUUCCCUCAUUCUAAAGUCGAGAUAAAUGAUCUAGUACUUUAUUUUUUGCACCCUUUCCAAUCUUUGACUUCAAAAUCAAAUUCUUAUAGCAGUAAAACCAUUUAAGUAGUUGAGGCUUAGCAUCUUUAUUAGCCACCAAGUUCCAAAAAGCAUCAUGAUCAGUAUGUACUACAACCUUUGUUCCCAACAAAUACACCCAAAAAUUCUCAAAGACUUAGACAAUAACUACUGGAUCCUAUUCAGUAAUUGUAUAAUUCUAUAGCACCCCAUUUAGUGCCUUGCUUGAAUAAUAAACAAGGUGAAAAAUCUUCUCUUUUUUUGCCUACGAACAGAUCCAAGUGCAACCCUAUUUACAUUACACAUCACUUCAAAUAGUUUAGACCAAUCUGAAGCAAUGCUAAAAGGCACAACUAAUAUUAUUUCCUUAAGGCAUUGGAGUUCCUUUAAGCACUCAAUAUUAAAUAUGAACUUAGCUUUUUUUUUUCUAACAGUUUGUACAAUGGAUCGGCAAUAUUGGAGAAUUGUUUAAUAAACAUCAGGUAGAACUCCACAUGAUCGAGAAAACUUCUAACUCUAUUCACCAAGACUAAUGGAGGUAGUUAUUGAAUAAAAUCUAUAUUCACUCUCUCAACUUCAAUUACCUUUUUAGAAAUCUUGGGUCCUAACAUGAUGCCCUCUUUAAUUAUAAAAUGACAUUUUCCCCAAUUGAGCAUAAGAUUGAAUUCCUUACAACUUUGUAAGGCAUUGUUCAAAUUUGUCAAGCAUUUAUCAAAAGAAUCACCUACCAUAGAAAAGUCAUACAUAAACACUUCUAAAGUGUCUUUUCCCAUAUCUGAGAUAAUCCACAUCAUCUUUUGGAAGGUUAACGGAUCAUUACAUAGCCCAAAAUACAUCUGCUUGAAGAAAGAUGUCCUAUAGGGGAAUGUAAAUGUAGUCUUUUCUUGGUCAUUGGGAUUAGUGGAUAUUUGAUUAUGCCCUGAAUAACCAUAUAGGAAAUAUUACCAAACCUUUCCUACCAACUAAUUGAGCAUUUGAUCGAUAAAGGAGAUAGGAAAUGGUCCCAAAGAGUCCAAGAAUGAAGCCUUCUAUAAUCCAUAGAUAUCAUCUAGUCGAUGACAUCUCUAAACAGGAUCAAUUCAUUCUUUUCAUUAACCAAGACAGUCAUACCUCCCAUCUUAGGGACACAUUGAACUGGACUUACCCAUUUAUUAUCUAAUAUUAGGUAAACAACCCCUGCAUCAAGCCACUCAAUUAUCUCUUUCUUUACCACUCUUGUAUUGGUGGGUUAAGUCUGCACUAAUGCUCAAUCAUGGGAAUACAAUAUUAUUCUAACUAAAUUUUAUACACACAAAUGCCAGGGGAAUCCCAGUGAUGUCCGUAAUCAUCCAUCCGAUAGCCUUUUUGUACUUUCAUAGUACAAAAAAGUGCUUCUACUUGUCAUUCUACCAUGUAUUCAAUAAUGAACACUGAUAAAGUGUUUUUUCCCAUGGAGAAAUAUGUAUCUUAAAUCGCCUAUAAAAUCUCUUAACUCUAAUACUACUGGUUCCUUAAUAAAUGAAUUUUCCGGAAGGAGUUGACAUAUUUUUCAAGUCCAGUCUAAAUUCUUUGAGACCUAAGAGUAUGACCUCAUUUCUUCAAAAAGACUAAACAUUUUCUCAUAAUCUUUGAUGUCCUCUUGUAGAAAUUCAUCAUUAUGUAGCUAAGGUUUCAACAAAAAACCUUUCUUCAAUAGGUACCUUCUUAUCAACCUCAUCAACAACAUCGAUAACUGAGAUGACAUUUCUAUUCCUAUGUUGCUUCAUUGACUAGAAAAUGUUGAACUUCACCUUUUUUUCAACCUAAAUUUUAACUCAUUGUACUCUAUGUCAACACAACACUCUUCCAGCAGUUAAGAAAGGUCUACCCAAGAUUAUGGAUACCUUAAAAUCCACCUCACAAUUAAGACUUGGAAAUUUAGUUAGGAAUAUAAAGUUUACAACCUUUGCAUGCAUAUCAUAUAGUACUCCCACUGGCCACUUGACUAAAAAAUCAAAGAUAAAUAACUACAUAGACAUUAGCUUGGGGGGUCCUAAGCCCAACAGCUGAUAGAUGGAUAGAGAUAUCAAAUUAAUGCUUGCUCUAAGAUCAUAAAAUACCUUAGCGAAGUUGAUAGAAUCGACUAAGUGGACACCUAGUUGGGCAAGCUAAUGAACUUCCUGAACUAAUCUCUUCUUCUCAUUCUCCACAUAAGCAACACUACCCAUGGACAUCUAACUGAGAGCAUCAACCAAUACAUUGUCCUUGCCUAAAUAAUACGAAACACUCAUGUCAUAGGCUUUCAACAACUCCAACCACCUUCUUUGACGGAGGUUUAGGUCUUUCUGAGAGAACACUUACUGAAGGCUCUUAUGGUCCGUGAACACAUCAACAUGUACCCCAUAAAAAUAUGCCUCCAAAUCUUUAAGGCAAAUACUACAGCUGUUAACUCAAGAUCAUGAGUAGGGUAGUUCUUCUCAUGAGGCUUAAGAUGUCUAGAGGCAUAGGCUAUGGCCUUACCUCUCUGCAUCAAAACACACCCCAAAACAACUCUGGAAGCAUCACAAUAUAUCACAAACCCAUCUAAACUAUUCGGUAGAGUCAAAAUUGGGGUUGUAGUGAGUUGAGUCUUAAAAUCCUGAAAACUCUUCUCAUAAGAAUCUGACCACUAGAAUUUUACUUUCUUUUGGGUCAAUCUGGAUAUGGGGGAUGCAAUAAAUGAAAAUCCCUCAACAAACCGUCGGUAAUAGUCAGCCAAACCCAAGAAACUCUUGAUAUCUAUCAGAGAAAUAAGCCUGGGCCAGUUUUUACUGCUUUGGUCUUUUGAGGAUCCACUCUAAUGCCAUCACCAAAAACUAUAUGACAAAUGAAUGCUACUGACCUUAGACAAAAUUCACACUUAAUGAGUUUGGCGAACAACUGAUGGUUUUUUAGAGUCUGUAAUACUAUUCUAAGAUGGUCUGCAUGAUUAUACUCACUACGGAAGCAGACAAAAGUGUUAUCUAUGAAGACUAUGAUGAACAAGUCUAAGUACUACUUGAACACACGGUUCAUCAAGUUUAUGAAAGUGGCUGGGGCUUUGGUAAGACCAAACAACAUGACUAAGAAUUUGAAGUGACCAUAUCGAGUUCUGAAGGCUGUCUUUAGAAUGUCAAAUUCUCUGACUCUGAGCUGAUUAUAGCCUGAUAUAAUGUCUAUCUUAGAAAAGUAACUGGCACCCUAAAGUUGGUCAAACAAGCCAUUAAUUCUGGAAAGUGGAUACUUGUUCUUGAUUAUGACCUUAUGUAGCUAGUGAUAGUCUAUACAUAUUCUAAGAGAACUAUUUUUCUUACGCACGAAUAGAACUGGUGCACCCCAAGAGGAUACACUGGCUCUGAUGAAUCCCUUAUCUAGGAGAUACUUACACUGCUCUUUUAACUCCUUGAGUUCUGCUAGAGCCAUUCUGUAUGGUGGAUGAGCUAUGGGCUGAGUAUCUAGAAGAAGGUUUAUUCAAAGUCAAUUUCCUUCUUGGGAUGAACUCUGAGAAGAUCUUCGGGAAACACAUCUGGGAAUUCACAUGCAACUAGAACUAACUAAAGCUGGGUGUAUCGGAACUAGAAUCCUUAACUCAAACGAGAUGAUAGAUACAUCCCUUAGAUAUCAUUUUUCACACCCUUAGGUUAGAAAUAAGCUAACCCCUGAGUGCUGAGCUACUACACCUCCAUUCUAGGAUAGGUUUAUUCCAAAACUAAAAUUAGAUAAUUCUAUUUCUACAGUCAACUGAAGCAUAGCAUGAAUAAAGCCAAUCCAUGCCGAUAAUGAUAUCAAAAUCUAUCAUCUCUAAUUUAACUAAGUCCACUGAAGUGACAUUCUAAGAUACUAUAACCGAACAGUUCCUGUAUACCCAUCGAGCUAUGAUAGAUUUAUCUACUGGAGUAGAGACUGAGAAAGCCUCUGCUAGAAUUUUGGGACUGGCUCCAAAGUCAACAACUAUAUAAGGAGUUACAAAAGACAAAAAAGCUCCUGGAUCUAGCAAAGCAUAAAUAUGAAAAUGAUAAACUUAUAAUGUACCAGUGACCACAUUAGGAGAACUCUCCUGAUCCUGUUGGGACUAAAGUGCAUAGAGUCUAUUUGGACGUUCCCACUGGUAGCACUGGAAGAAGCACCCUGCUGAUUCGGGCUACUGGACUGAGCCGGGGGAUGAUUAUGCUAACUCCAUAAACACACCUGAGGUCAUUAUCUGACCUUGUGGCCUGGAUUGCCUUAUUCAAAACAUAUAUCUCUGCUAGCUCUACGGAUACCCUGAUAGUUUCUACCACACUUCUAGCAGAGAGGAUUCAUUCGGGCACUAUUAACACUACCUUGGGGAUUAGCGCCUAAUGCUCUAUCUCUAUUGUCGUCUCUGAAUUUUGACAUUGGAGCACUGUCUAAGGAUGGAGCUGGGACUGAAGACUUCUGGCGGAACUGAGGACGAUUACCAUCCUUUGACUUAGGUUGGGUGAAGUUGAAGCUACCUGUUCUAGCUCUCUUAUUUUCCCUUUACUUCUCCUUAUUCUUAGCCUCCUCUAUCUGCUGAGCAUGGACCAUGAGCCUGGAUAUGUCUAUCUCCUUAAUCAGUAUUACGGUCCUACACUCCUUUACCACACUAUUAGACACGCCAGACACAAACUUACUCAUCUUAGAUUUGUUAUCUGCUACUACAUGAGGGGCAUAUCUAGCUAAGUAACCUUGAAAGAAUACUCUUGUACUAUCAUGUUUUCCUGCUUUAGAUUAAUAAACUCUAAAACCUUCACUUCUCUCAACUCUAGUGGGAAGAUCCUAACCAGAAAAGCAAUAGCAAACUUCUCCCAUUCUAUGGGCCCUGUAUCUGUGGCCCUCUUUGCUUUCCACUGUUUGAACCAUGAGUGAGCCAUAUCUUGUAAUAGAUAUGCGACCAACGCAGAUCAAGAAAUUCCUGUGGGUCCUUAUCUAACUUUGACUUAGUAAAAGAGGGAGGGUUUAUUCGGCUGAAGUCUCGAAUCCCAGCUGCAGCAGUAUUAGCCAUUAGGUUGGCCAAAAUGAUAAUUGGACAUUUAUUCUGGGCUGCCACAAAAUGAGCUAGGGUGGUAAAAGUUGCUCUGAAUUCCACGUGGGAGACAUGCUCAUCUAGAGGAUCUGGCUGGAUGAGAUAAGGUGCUAGCUAGUCUCUUAUUCCUCUUCCCUUAGUCUUUUUUAGAGGCAUGUUUAAUAAACAGAAUGGAAAAGGAUUAGACUAAGAGUUUAAUUGGAGCUCAUGCUCACUCGAACCACAUGAAUACUAAAAGAAGGGAAAAUUUUCCUAAGACAUCUAAUAGCCUCCUGUCCAUAAGUGUGGCACGCUAUACACCCAUGCACAAGACUUGACUAGAUAUGACUUUCAGACUUCCUAGGACUCUAUUAAACCUUAGUCUUUGAUACUAAGUUUGUAGUGCCCCGAGUCUGUACUCCAGAUGCUACAUGGUGCUAGCGACCCCGAAGGACCACCAGUUAACCCAUGAACAGUAUCUACUGUGAGCACUGAAUAAUAAUAACACUGUAAAAUUAAUAUAAUUGAAAUAUGUGCGAAAGUUAGGCUAAAAAAGCCUUAAAGACCAAUACCGAAUACUGAAAGCUGAAUAUUGAAAAACUAAAAAAUCCAUCUAAAAUACUCUAUUCUGAAAGCCUCUAAUUGUCUGAAGUAUAGAGCUGAUGGGACAAGCCCCCAACUAACUCGACUACUAAAAACUGUACUAAAAUACUAAAAUAACAUUCUAUCCUUAAACUAUGAGAACUCACCACUAAGUCUAUUUCUAAUAGGCUGCACUGCUAAGUACAGUCAGGAGCCCGUGCAUCUGAACCUAUGAUAUAAUACAUCAUAGCACAAAAGAAAGGUAUGCGUUAGUACUUUGAAUGUACUAGUAUAUUAAGUAAGGUAGACUGAUAUGCAUGGGUUCAUAUGUAUGAACAAUAACUGACUGAGUAACAGGAACAUCACUGAAUUAGAGAACAUGCAUGGAUACAUAAAUUGUAACUGAGAUCAUGUUAACAUUGGUUACUGGGUUCUGAAUACUGAUUAACUGAUAUCUGAGUUUACUGAUACUGUAAUACUGAUAAUUGAGUGACUGUUUCUGACAAUCCUGAUUAAUAAUUGGGUGACUAUUUCUAAUAGUCCUAAUUCUGUAGAACUAAACUGAGUUCUAUACUAAGUUGGGUGAAUGUAUCUGGCAGCCCUGAUUCUGUAUAACUGAACUGAGUUCUAUUCUGAGAUUAAAACUAAAACUAAAACUAAAACUGAAACUAUUAGAGCUAAUCAUCUAACUGACAUUCCUCUCCCUGAAUGGAUUAGGGUCCAACUUAAAGCCCCAGUUGCAAGGGUGUCAGUACCAUGCCACAGGUAAAGACAAGCUGUGAGUUAACCCUCUCUAACAAGAAGCUCUUUCAUCAACCCUCACUGGCAGGAAAAUUCAUACGAGAUGUAUCAACCCUAAUCUGGCAGGGAGAUAUCUCAACCUACGCUGGCUAUAUUGUUCUGUAACGCAGGGAUUGCUACUAAGGAUCAAACUCUAUGAUGGCCAAAAUGCCCCUAUUCCUGGGUUCGGUCGUACUGAAUCCUACUUCCAACCAACUUCUACCUCCCUUCAUCACAUAAACCCUAAUGCAAUCUACCACAAAACCUGUAGGGAAGAUAUGAUGGAGCUGACUAGGCCCCACUAUCCUGAGAUUGGGCACCCUAUGCUCUAAAGUCGACACCAUCUUGGAAAUGCCUAUCUCCCAACGUCUUUAGGUAGGGAGCACUAGACGUUAAGUAAGACCAAGAAUUGACCCACUUCUUCUUGGGACACUUCCCACCAUCCCUGUUACUCUACUAUUGUCCAUUACCCUACUCGGAGAACCUAAAUUUCUUGCCCUGCCUCUCCCUUAUAUCCUCCUGCUUCUUCUUAUCUUCCUCUACCUUUCACAUGUACACUACCAACAUAGAGAUAUCCAUGUGCUUGAUCAACAAGGUAGCCUUAAUCUCUAAUAUCAAAUCUCUGGACAACCCAGAAGCAAACUUUCUCAUUCUAUCACUCAUGCUAGAAAUCAUCUCUGAAGCAUACCAAGAUAACUAGUGAAACUUUAAGGCAUACUCCUUGACUGACAUUUGUCCUUUCUUUAGAUGGACGAAGUCUUCUACCUUUUAUUCCCUCAACUCUUGAGGAAAGAAGUGGUCUAGGAAAGCAUUAAAGAAAUCACCCCAAAAAUCUAACUCGACAUCUUUACCCUUAGUCUGUUACGAUUCCUUAUACCAUUGGUAUGCUACAUCUUUCAGUUGAUAGGAAACAAAUUCCAUAUUAGUAGCAUAUAUAACAUGAAAUAUCUUUUCCAUAUAAUCCACAAAAGCUUAAGGAUACUUCCAAACCUUACACACCAAUGAACACAAGAGGGUUCAACCUUAUGAACUGGGCAACCCUUCUGGCCUUAGAAGAUGGAGUAACAGAAACACCAUACUCAGCCUGAAAAGCUACCAAAAAACCAACAUAAGGAUAGACUGACACUCAGCAUUCAUUAUAUCAGCCUAAUAAGCUCGAGGAGGACUAGAGAGAAUCGGUGGAACUCCAGGAGGACAAUCAUGAACUGUACCCCUAGAUCGAGUCUGGACCCCAUAAGUAGAAUGGUCCCAUCAAUAUUGUCCUCGGGUAGGAUAAAGGAGUUUCCAUGAGCUUCAUAUCAUUGAGGAUGCAUGAUCUAAAAAGCGAACUAACAAGAAUUAGAGGAGAAUUCAGGACCUUAUACUCUACAGCUCAAAAAUAGAACACAAGAAAGAGAAACAUUCCUAAAUGGCUUGUAGCCUCUACUUUAGGAGUGUGGUAUGCUACACAGUUUUAAAAGAGACCCUAUUCGACACGGCUUUAUGGACUAUUAAGUGACCAUGAGCCCAGGGUUCUGAUACCAAUCUGACAUAACCUAAACUAGCGCCUAGUCAUGUUGGGUUCCUCAAGCCUAACCGGUAUUAGAGACCACCCAAGUACCCAACCAUAAUUGCCCUACACCUUAUGUUGGAUGAAUUUUGAACAUACAACAAGAUAGAUCAAUAAUAAAUCAAAGACAUUAAUUAACUCCUAUAACGAUAAUCCAACAACCUUAAUCAAAUAUCCAACUAGUGUCAUCUCCAAUAGCAAUACCAACCUAAGGCUAACACCAAUACCAAUACCACCCAUGCCUAUAAUAGUCACAUAAAGCCUCUAACUGAAAUCCAAGAACAUUCGAUUGGGAUAUGCCCCCGACCAUAGAUAAAACCAAAGUCCAAGAAAUAAACAAAAGGAUGAAAAGAAAUACAUAGUAUGAAAUGUAGUCUAUCAGAGUAUGGAAGAUCACUACUUUAGUCUAACACAAAGCUGUUCUCGAAUCUAAGUCACUGAGAGGGGGAGUAGUAUGGAUGGUUCCUACAUCGCGUGGGGAUACAAUACCUGAAGAUAGGUUAAUGGGUAGAGUUAGGAUAAAAUAAUGCCAUUAUUCAAAACUAAUGUAAAUAACUAAAUGCAAGAACAUUCAUACAUAUAUUUAUAUUUAUUAUGCUAAGAAAGGGAACCAGGUUUAGGAUGCAUAUAAAACCUUUAACUUGGGUUGUAUAGGUUGACCAUCCUAAAACCACCCAUGGGCUAUAUGGGUCUAGUUUUACCCCCUAGACAUACCCCAGUGUGCGUAGCCGCAUGAACUAGAGAUAUCAUAGGGGACGACAAAUGACAUGUACACUUCUCCCUCCAUGAUACCUAUAUACAAGUAUAAAUUUAAGGGAUUCCUCUAUACCCCACAAGUAUAUGGUCACUAUAGCCAACCCUUAUAUCGGCAAACAUAGGUUUCCAGUGUUCGUCCAGCGAAUUCACACCUUUACGAUUAGCUAUCACAACCCGCCAUUAUUACCAAUUAAUAUUUAGCACAUAGUCAAACCACCAAUUCUAGAAGUCAAGUGUCAAGGCAUUGUGAAGUGGUAUCGUCAUACCAAUUAUAGCUUGCAAGCAAUGUCACUAGCCAACACUUAGGGGUUUCCCAUGUACCCCAUAAGAUUUCUAAUUAAACUAAAACCAUGACCACCAAGGCCUUUCCACCAUUUAAUACCAACCAAACCAAUUUAAUUUCCAUUACCAUAUUAUGCAAUUCAAAGUUUUCAAUAAUAGUCCAACUAUGUAAUAAAAUCUCUCAUAGGCAUUUUGACAAACAUGUUGACGGCAUAAGAUUUUCAAAACCAAAACCAUGUUUCAAUUGAUCAUUCCCAUGAAACCACAUGUUCAAACUACAAUUAUAACAUGAAAACCAUAAGAAAGCAUGGGAAAACAUCAUCCAACCAAAAACAACCCAAAACCCCUAACAUAUUUUCAAAACCUAAAAUAAUAUCAUAAUAAUACUAUGAAAACCAUCCAUUAAAACAUGAUUUUUGUUUAGCCUAUAAUGAGGGAGGAGUGACAUGCCUUAGACACCAAGGAAGAUGAAGAGAUUCACUCUUAAAAGUCCCUAAUUGAUUGCCUUGUAGAAACCCUAGCCUUUUCUUGAACCAAGAGCUUGAGAGAGAUCUGAGAGUGCUUAGAGAGUGUUUAAUUGAGAAUAAUAGAUUAAGAAACCCUCCAAAGGUGUUUUAUAUUGAGGGGUCACAAGGAGUUAAGAGGGGGGAUGUCCAGAAUACCCCUAACUUAAACUUUAAAAUUUUUUGUAGGUGGAUACGAUUUGAAUCCCUUACUUGUACCCACAUUAUACGAGUGAUACCUUCCACUCGUAACUUGAUAAAAAUUUAGACAUCAUAUUCUAUCCAACAUACGACUCCUUAUCCUAACUCGAACCCUGACCAUAUGACUAGUAUCCUUAAGUCAAACCCUAAGCAGAAAUAUCUAGGCUAGACACUAGACAAUAUAUGAUUUGGACCCUACCUCUCGUAUUAUAUACAUACGACUCAUAUGAAGUCUCCUCAUACCAAGAAUAGAACUUGAUCGACAUAAUACUGACCAACAUAUGUCUAGGGUCCUUAGACCCGUAACCUCACCAUAUAACUAUUACGGUGAGUCAUAUUAUCAAUAGAAGGCUCAAACUUACAAAAAUUUUCAAGGUCCAGAACCCAGGUUGUUUCAAGUAUCACCAUUGUUUUUGUUUUUAUUUUGGGUCAUAGGUUGAUGGAAAGUCUGAGUACCAGUGACCCAAACUAAGGAGUAUGGCAAAGACUGAGUAUGGUGUCCUCCUUACCUCUUUAAUGAUCAAGAUGCUACUUGGUAGGCCUAGAGGCCUCAUGGUGUAUUUAUAUCCUUACUUUUAAUUUAUACUUUGGGGAAAAAGUGUAAUUUUAAGUGUGGGGUGGGUAAUCUUCUGAUUGUUUAGGAUAAAGUGCUGCUUUAGGAUUUCCAUUUUAAGUAUUUUUUAGUUUUUGACUAAACUUAAACAAAGUUACAAAAAGAUUUGAUCUAUGUUUAUUUUUAGAUUUUGUUGAUGUUAGUCUAGUGGAAGCACACUUUACCUACCUCAUGGUUUUUCUUAUUGGUUCUUUCCAAGGGGCGCCCUUUGAACUCAGUAACUUAUUUUUACUUUUAAGAGUAAUUUAAAAUUUUGGUCAUUAGGAAUAAAUAAGAUGUUCUUGCUAAGGGAUAUAUAUGAUUACAUGAUUGUAAGCUAGUUUUGAAUGUAAAUCUAUGUACAAUGAGUUGAAUGACUAUUUUUGAGACACCUAGGCUCAUUUAUCUAACUCUUGUGCGAUGUUGGCUUAAUUUUGAAUUCUUGAUAUUGCUUGGUCGAGAUUCUAUAGAGAUCCUUCUUGAUUUAAGCAUGUGUCAUAUUUGAGUGAGGUCUUUUGUUACAUUCCUUGUUGAAUAUUGAUUUCUUAACUUGUCAGGUGUGUAUGCAAAGUGAAAUAAAGAAUAUUAGAUUUAGGAGAAGAUAUAGACAUUUCUUUGAUAGUCAUGUCUUAUACCCUCUUUAUCUACCCUUAUUGCAUUGCACUAGUUAGCCCUAUUAAGCCUUUAUCCUACUCAUUGGUAGCCUUAUAUGCAGCUUAUUCUCUUUUUUUUGAUUGACCAUAAUUUGAUCCAAAGGUUUUAAGAACUUUAGUUGAAAGAUUAAGAUGUUAAGGAGCGUAAAAUUGAAGAAGGAAAAGAGUGAAAGCAAAGCCAAAAAAUAGAAUCUAUUGGUGUGAUAGAAAUAUUUAUGUUUUAAUGGUGCGGAGCAGUGUAAUGGAAAUACCAAUUUAUCAAAAAAUGAAUUAUGUGUUAUUAUUAAAUACUCCUCACUUAAGAUAUGUGAACUAGCUUAAAGAGAUGAGGCAAAACAAAAGUGAAGUGGGAAUAUAAAUGAAACACCCUAAUUUCUAGACCUUAGAAAAUUUCUAGGAAUUUUGAUCUCUGGACCCAAUACGACUCAUGGGUAUGAUCCGUGUUUUGGGGUACGGAUUGUAUGGUCUAGUUGUAUACAGACCAGUAUUGGUUGGUGGGAUGGAUUUUGGUUACUGAAAUGGAUACGACUUAGGGGUACGAGUAGUAUUAGUAGGUAUGGAUCGUUUGGUUCCUUAAAUUAAUCUUAGACUUGGAUACUUAGGUUGGAUAUGAGUACGAAUGGCUCACUAUAAUCUAUAAUCUAGGGUACAAGUCAUACCAAGGACUCGUGUGGUGGACAGUGUCUAAAUCUUUCUUAGGUUUAAAUCUGCCAAGGGUACGGAUGAAUGGUAUAGAUCAUAUGCUUUGGAUACGACUUGAUUGGAUGAGUUGUAUAUUGGAUAGUGUUGGGAGCAAGGGUUGAGGCUCAGGAUACGAGUGGAGGGUACCACUCGUAUAAGAGGGUAUGACUCAAGAGGGUCAGUCGUACCCCUAUGAUGGGAUUUUGUGAAAUUUAAGUGGGGGUAUUCUGGAUAUUUCCCCACUUAUUUUAAUAAGGUCCCACAACUUUUAACCUACUUAGGAGGACAUUUAACCUAUUAUUCUAUUCAUUAUACCUUAGAAACUCUUCUAAACACUUUAUACUUCUCUCAAAUUCUUUUAGGUAAGGGAAACUAGGGUUUCAACUAGAGGAUUGAUUUGGGGCUUGUCUUGGUGAUUUAUUUUCAUCAUCAUCAUGGUUUAAGGUAUGUUAUCUUUCUUCAUUGUUAAUUCUAAAUAGAAGCAUAGUUUUUAUGAAUGUUUGCAUGACUUCAUUGAUUGUAUGAUUUUUGUUUUCAAAUAUGAUUUGGGGGUUUUGAUAUUAAAUAAUUGAUUAUGGUUUUCUAUGGUUUUAAUUAUGUUUUAUGUAUAUUAAUGGUGAUUUUGGAUAAUUAGAUUGCAUGGGAAUGGGUUAUUGGUAAUUGAAAUUGGUUUUGGUUAUAUUAUACCCCCAAUAUGUUUGACAAAAUGCCUACAAUAAUGUUUUCAUUGCAUUGAGUAUUUUAAUGGAACUAUUGCAUAGUUUAAAACUUGGUAAAGGAAAUAUGGAUGGUUUAAAUAGCUUGGAAAGGUAAAUUGCUAAAUUGUUAUGCUUUUGAGGUACAUGGAAUCCCCUAAGUGGUUUAAUGUGAUGAUUGGAUAGGGCACUUGAAUGUCCCCUUAAAGAUAUAAAUGGUUAGCUAUGGAUGAUAUUUGCAAGUAAAUAUUGGUAUGAUGAUACCAAUAUUAAUGGCAUUGGUUAAUAACUGGUUAAUUGGAAAAUGGUUUUAAUUGGGCAUUAGUAGCACGAUGUGUAGCAAAGCCAUGGAAGGUGGAGGUCCCACGGGGAGAAAAACUGGAGACUUAUAUUUGCCAAUAUAAAAUUGGUCUUGGUGGCUAUAUACAUGAUGUCACACUAUAUUUUGGAGGAUGUACUAGUUCUCCCAGGUUUUAUUCCCUGGUGAUGCAGCUUCACACACUGGGGCCCUUUUGCCAGGGAAAGAUGAAUCCAUAUAGCCCAUGGAUAGUUUAGGACAACAAAGCUACAUAACCCAGGUAAAGGUUUUAAAGGCAUGCUAAACCUGAUUUCCUUUCCCCACAUGGUUUUAUAUAUAUACAUAUGGUCGUGUGCAUAUAGAUGGUUUUACUCAGUUUUAUAAAUGGCAUUAUUUUAUCCUUAUACUGAGAUCAGGCUAGCUUUCACCCGCUAACCCGUAUACUACCCAAGUGCAUAAACAGACCGUUCUACUUUUCCUACAUAGUGAUUGAAUUAUGAAUCAACAUUUGGGCUGAAGUGGCGAGCUUUCAUCCUUUUGAAAGGCUCUAUUUCAUGUUACAAAUAUUUUUUAGACUCUUUAAUUUUAUUUUGGAUAUUGGUUUUGGCCAUGGUUGGGGGCAUGUCCCAAUCGAAUUUUAUUACUCUUUUGGAUAAAAGCUAUAUGGUACUACUAUAGGUUGGAAUAGGUGGGAUCAAUAUUAGUGUCAGCCUUGGCAUUGGAAUAACUGGAGGACUGACAUCAUCAAAUAUAAUUUCUCACUAUUCCAUCAUAUUUUACUUUAGGAUUAAUUAUAUUAUAUUUUGGAACAUUCUUGGUUAUGGCCUGGUUUAUGGAACUUAGUUAGGUAGAGUUUUAGUAUGGUUAGAUUGUUGGUGCAGGAAGGUUGGACUCGGUUGGGUCGGUCACGAUUGUGACCUUAUCCCAUCGUCUUCAUGUGAGCUAUUUUACUAUCUUGCUACAUGCUCGAAAUUCAGCCAACUCCAGGUAGGCGGUUUAAGGUUGGGUUGGGUAAUAGGGGUGGUAUCCGGUAGCGAUCGUACUUAGGUUUCCCAUUACAACAAGGCCCCUGGUCGGGUCACAUCAAGUUGGUAUCAGAUCCUAGGUUCAUGGUCAAUUGGGAGUCCAUAAAGUCAUGUCUAGUAGAGUCUUAUUUAGGGGUGUGUAGCGUUCCACACUCAUAAGGUAGAGGCUACAUGGAAUUUAGGAAUGCCUCACUUUCUUGGUAUUCUAUUCUCAAGCUUGGAGUCUCAGUCUUGGAAUCUUCUCUAAUCCUUAUUUGUUCAUCUUUCAGAUCAUGCCUCAUAAAUCUGAAACAUAAGAAAAUUCUUCUAUCCCAUCUAGGGGUAAUGCUGAAUGGGUGCAUCCUACUUUUGCGGUUCAUCUUCGAUCUCAUGGUCCUAUCCCUCAUAGUUUGUGAGUUCCACUGAUUGCUACUAGUCCUCCUUAAGGCGAUGUGACUUAUGCAAAAUCUUGUCAGUCUAUUCAUAUAAUUGCUCAGAUUGUUGCUGCUCAAGAUGAGUGGGGUAUGACUAGUACUUUGUCUGCUGAGGCCAUAAGGGUUGCCCAAUUUAUAAAGAUGGGUCCUUUCACUUUUUCUGGAGUGAAGGUGGAAGAGAAUCCAUAAGGCUUCUUAGACGAAAUGGAAAAGAUAUUUGGGGUGAUUGUAGGCUACCAAUAUGAAGGGGGUAAACUUUGUAUCUUAUCAUCUCAAAGGGGUUGUAUAUCAGUGGUAUAAAGAGUGGGACAGAGAUAAGGGUAGUAUAGAAGAAUCAGUCUUACGAGAUAUUUUUUCCAAGACCUUAUUAGAUCGUUUCUUUCCCCAAGAGUUAAGGGAAUCAAAGAUAGAAAAGUUUAUAAACCUCAGGCAAGGGAGAAUAUCUGUCAAGGAAUAUUCCUUAAAGUUUCACCAAUUGUCAAGGUAUGCUCUUGAUUUAGUUGCUAACAUACGGCGGGAAAGAAUGGGGAAGUUUACUUCUGGGUUGAAUUAGGAUUUGAUUUUGGAGAGAAAGACUACUUUGCAAAUUAAAGUUAUGGACAUCUUUAGGUUGACUGGUCAUAUGGAGCAAGUAGAGGAUAAAAAAGGAAGCAGGUGGAGUUUAGGGAUAGACAGGGUAAGAGGAACAUGUUUUCUGACUAGGGAGAUGCUCAGUCUCAGGGUUGUCGGGAUGGUGGCAAAUGGCCGAAAAAAAGAUAAGGGAUUUCUAGUUCCUACUCUUCUACUAAUGAUCCUUACCAGGUGAGCGACAAGUGUCAUCAAGAUGGUGAUAAUUUUUGGGCAUAGGGUUCCCUAUAUCAGGUAAGUGGAGAUUAGUCAGUUUCUUCAUAUCCUUCUUGUCGGUUCUAUGGUUAUCCUUAUCGGGGUUAUUACAAUAAAGGUAGGGAGAAAUGCUUCAGGUGUGUCUAUCCUGGCCAUCGUCUCAGAGAUUGUCCAGUUAAUAAAGUAGCUAUAGGGGUAAAUAAGAUUUCUGUGGCUUCAUAUUCUGCUCUUAUACCUGGUGGUAUGGCAUCUACUCAUGUUACUGCUCCUGGUUCUAGUAUUGGUCGAAACAAGUUGUAUGCUUUGGCAUCCUGACAGAAAUCUAAGGCAUCACCUGAUGUCGUUACUGGUAUACUACAACUUUUCUCUUGUUACAUAUAUUGUUUGCUUGAUCUAGGGUCAACACUCUCCUAUAUGACAUCUUAUGUGGCUUUAUUUUUUGGUUUCAAUCCAUCCUUUUUUUAUUUCCACCCCAAUAGGUAACUCGAUUACUUCUAAGAGAGUCUAUAGAGGUUAUAUGGUGUCUAUUGGUGGCAAGAAAACCUUGAUGGAUCUAUUUAAGUUGGGUAUGGUGGAUUUCAAUGUCAUUCUGGGUAUGGAUUGGUUUUACUCUUAUUACUUAUCCUUGUAUUGUCGGACUCAUAGGGUUCUCUUUAGGUUCCCCGAAGAGCCAGUUAUAGAAUGGGAGGGUAGUUAUUUAGCUCCUAGGGGGAUAUUUAUUUCUUAUCUUAGAACUAGGAGGUUAAUCUCUAAAGGUUGUCUUUAUCACUUGGUUCAAGUUAAAGAUUCUAAUUUGGAAGGUUCUUCUUUCCAGUCAGUUCCAGUGGUUAAUGAGUUUUCAAAGGGCUUUUUGGAUGAACUUCUUGGUGUUCCUCCAGAAUGGGAAAUAGAGUUUGGUAUUGAUCUUGUUUUGGACACUCAUCUAAUUUCUAUUCCUCCAUAUAGAAUGGCUCUGAUUGAGUUGAGGGAACUUAAGGAGCAACUUAAGAAUCUUCUAGAUAAGGGGUUUAUUCAACCUAGUGUAUCUCCUUGGGGUGCACCGGUGUUGUUUGUGCGCAAAAAGGAUGGUUCCCUUUGGAUGUGCAUUGAUUAUGGGUAGUUGAACAAGGUGGAGGUCAAGAACAAGUAUCCUCUUCUAAGGAUAGAUAACCUAUUUGAUCAGUUACAAGGUGCCAAGUUCUUUUCUAAGAUAGAUCUUUGGUCUGGGUACCAUUAAUUAAAGAUUAGGGAGGUGGAUAUCCCUAAGAUGGAUUUUCAUACUCAGUAUGGUCACUUUGAAUUUUUGGUGAUAUCAUUUGGAUUAACUAAUGCUUCGGUGACAUUUAUGGAUCUAAUGAACAAGCUUUUUCUUCAGUUUUUAGAUCUUUUCAUUAUUGUGUUUAUUGAUAACAUUCUGGUUUAUUCAAAGAGUAAGAUGGAUUAUUCUAAUCACCUCUAUGUGGUGUUGUUGACCUUAAAGGAACAACAGUUGUAUGCCAAGUUCUCCAAGUGUGAUGUUUGGUUAAACACUGUAAUUUUAUCAGGUUAUAUUAUUUCUAGUGAGGGGAUCAUGGUGGAUCUGUAAAAGGUUAUUGUGAUGAAGAGGUGGCCAAGACCCAUGACUCCAUCCGAUAUUUGAAGCUUCUUGGGUUUAGCCGAGUAUUAUAGGUGGUUUGUGGAAAGGUUUUCAUCGAUAGUUGCUUCUUUGACUAAGUUAACUCAUAAGAAUGUCAAGUUUUCUUGGUUAGAUACUUGUGAAGGGAGUUUCAAUAAGUUAAAGGAUAAGUUGACUUCAGCUUUAAUUUUGACUUUGUUGGAAGACAAUGAUGAUUUUAUAGUUUAUUGUGAUGCAUCUUGAGUGAGGCUUAGUUAUGUGUUGAUGCUGCAUGGGAAGGUGAUUACCUAUGCUUCUAGGCAGUUGAAGGUACACAAGAGAAACUAUACUACUAAUGAUUUAAAGCUAUUGGCGGUUGUGUUUUCUUUAAAACUAUGGUGGCAUUAUUUGUAUGGUGUGCACGUGGAUAUCUUUUCUGAUUAUAAGAGUCUACAGUAUGUGUUCACUCAUAAAGAUCUUAAUAUCAGGCAGAAAAGAUGGCUUGAGCUUCUCAAGAACUAUGAUAUGAGUCUUCACUACCACCCAGGUAAGGCUAACAUAGUUGCUGAUGCUCUUAGCUGGUUAUCCAUGGGGAGUUUGACUCAUGUAGAUAAAAGAAAGUGGGAAUUAGUAAAGUCUAUUCACCGCUUGGCUAAUCUUGGAGUUUUUCUCUUAGACUCCAAGGAUGGUGGUGUGAUGGUGCAAAAAGUGGUUCGAUCAUCUCUUGGUAAUGAGAUUAAGGAGAAGAAAGUGCUAGAUCCUAUCUUGAUGAAAAUCAAGGGUGACAUUAGUGGGCAAAAGGUAGUGGUGUUUGAGAUUGAUGGUGAUGGUACUUUAUGGUACCAAGGGAGGUUAUGGGUUAUUGAUGUUGACGGAUUGCAACAAAGGAUUUUGGCUGAGGUACAUGAAUCGCUCUAUGUUGUUCAUCCUAGCUCGACUAAGAUGUAUCAUGAUAUCAAAGAGAUCUAUUGGUUGAAUGGUAUGAAGAAAGAUGUGGUUAAUUUUGUGGCUAAGUGCAUGGUGUGUCAACAGGUUAAGGUUGAGCACAUGAGGCCAGGAGGGUUGUAUUAAGAAAUUUAUUUUCUCAAGUGGAAAUGGGAAGUGAUAACAUAGACUUCGUUACCCAUCUUUCUUGGUCUCAAAAUCAAUAUGAUUCAAUUUGUGUCAUCGUGGAUAUAAUAACCAAGUCUGCUCACUUUUUGCCAGUGCAGACUACCUUCUCGGUGGAGGAUUAUGCAAAGUUGUAUCUUCAGGAGAUUGUGAAGAUGCAUGUGGUGCCUAUUUCAAUUAUUUAUGAUCGUGGAAUGCAAUUUACAUUUCACUUCUAGCGAUCUUUUCAAAAAGGGUUGGGGACUAAGGCUAGUUUGAGUACUGCUUUCCACUCGCAGAUGGAUGGGCAAGCGGAAAGAACUAUUCAGACAUUGGGGGAUGUCCUUUGGGCUUGUGUGAUUGAUUAUUGAAGCAAUUGGGUUGAGUAUCUGCCUUUGGUGGAUUUUGCUUACAAUAAUAACUAUUAUUCUAGUAUUGGGUUGGCCCCUUUUGAGGCAUUGUAUGGUAGGAGGUGUAGAUCACCUAGUGGUUGGUUUGAGCUUGGUGAGAAUAAUAUGUUUGGUCUCGACUUUAUUUACCAGGCUAUGAGAAGGUGAAGUUGAUUCGGGAGAGGCUUAAGGAUGCCCAAAGUCACCAAAAGUCCUAUACAGAUGUUAGGCGUAGAGACUUGGAGUUUGAGGUUGGAGACAAGGCUUUUCUCAAGGUAUCUCCUAUGAAGGGAGUGGUGUGGUUUGGUAAGAAGGAGAAGCUCAAUCCCCGGUAUGUUGGACCUUAUGAGGUUUUACGGAGAGUUGGUAAUGUUGCUUAUGAGCUGGAGUUUCCUUCUAGCUUAAGCUUGGUUCAUCCGAUCUUUUCUGUUUCCAUGUUGAGGAAGUGAGUUGAUGAUCCUUCUUUGGUGGUUCCUUUGGAAGGAUUGGGUAUCAUUGAUUCUUUGUCUUAUGAAGAAAUCCCGGUUGAGAUCUUAGAUAGGCAAGUUUGUUGGCUGUAGACCAAGGAUGUAGCUUUGGUUAAGGUUCUUUGGUAGAACCAUACGGUAGAAGUUAAAUGAAAAGCGGAAGAGGACAUAAAGUCUAAAUAUCCGCAUUUGUUUUCUUCUCCUAGGAUUUGUGCGGAAGGUAUGUGUCUUCAACACAUCUUUAUUUUCUGAGUUUCUUAAAGGAAAGAUUAAUAUCUUUGCCUUUUGUUUUCAAACUUUGUUAAAGAUUGGGAAUAUAUUUGAUAAUGCAAAUGACUCGUGCGUGUGGUUAUCCCUACCUUGUCCGUCAUUCGGGGAUGAAUGUUCCUAGUGGGGAAGACUGAAACACCCUAGUUUUUGGACCUUAGAAAAUUUUCUGGAAUUCUAAUCUCUAGACCCAAUAUGACUCAUGGGUACGAGCCGUAUGUUGGGGUCCUGAUGAUAUGGUGCAGCCGUAUGCUAACUAGUGUUGGUUGGUGGGAUGGAUUUUGGUUACUAGAUGGAUAUAACUUAGUGGUAUGACUUGUAUUAGUGGGACGGAUCAUUUGGUUACUUAAAUUAAUCUUAUUCUUUGAUACUUAACUUGGAUCUGAGUACGACUGGCUGACCAUGAGCUGUAAGCCAGGGUAUGAGUCGUACCAAGGACGAGUAUAGUGGACAGUGCCUAAAUCUACCUUGGGCUUAAAUCUGCCAGGGGUACAAAUGAAGGGUACGGAUCAUAUACUUUGGAUACGACUUUGUUGGAUGAAUCAUAUGUUGGAAAGUGUUGGAUCCAAAGGUUGAGGCUCAAGAUAUGAGUAGAGGGUACCACUUGUAUAGGAGGGUAUGACUCGUGAGGGUCAUUCGUACCCCUAUGACAGGAUUUUGUGCAACUUAAGUGGGGGUAUUCUGGAUAUUUCCCCACUUAUCCUAAUAAGGUCCCAUUUCUUCUAAUCUACUUGGGAUGAUAUUUACCCUAUUAUUCUAUUCAUUAACACGUAGAAACUUUUUGAAACACUAUAAUUUUCUCAUAAGCUUUUGGGCAAGGGAAGCUAGGUUUUCAAUUAGAGAAUUAAUUUGGGGCUUGUCUUGGUGAUUCCUUUCCAUCAUCAUCUUGGUUUAAGGCAUGUUCUCUUCCCUCAUUGUUAGUUCUAACUAGAAGCAUGUUUUUUAUGAAUGUUUUCUUGACUUCAUUGGUUGUAUGAUUUUGGGUUUCUAAUAUGAUUUGGGGUUUUUGAUAUUAAAUGGUUGAUUAUGUCUUCCUAUGGUUUUAAUUAUGCUUCAUGUGUAUUAUUGGUGGUUUUGGUUAAUUGGAUUACAUGGGAAUGGUUUAGUGGUAAUUGAAAUUGGUUUUGGUCAUUAUGCCCCCAAUGUGUGUGACAAAAUGCAUUUAGUAAUGUUUUCAUUUUAUUGAGUAUUUUAAUAGAACUCUUGCGUGUUUUAAAACAUGAUAAAGGAAUUAUGCAUGGUUUAAGUGGCUUGUAAAGGUAAAUGGCUAAAUAGUUAUGCUUGUGGUGUACAUGGAAUCCCCUAAGUGGUUUAAUAUGGUAAUUGGAAAGGGCACUUGAAAGUCCCCUUAAAUCUAUAAAUAGUUAGCUAUGGAUGAUACUUGCAAGUAAAGAUUGGUAUGAUGAUACCAAUAUUAAUGACCUUGGUUAAUAACUGGUUAAUGGUUUGGUUAUUUGGAAAAUGGUUUUAAUUAGGCAUAACUGGAAUGAUAUGUAUAAAACUCGUGGAAGGUGGAGGUCCCAGAGAGAGCAAAACUGGAAACUCAUAUUUGUCAAUAUGAAGUUGGCCUUGGUGACUGUGUGCAUGAUGUCACACUAUAUUUUGGGGGAUGUGCUAGUCAUCCCAGAUUUGAUUCCCUGGUUGUAUGUCUUCACGCACUAAGGUACUUUCAGCAGGGGGAGCUGAACCCAUAUGUCCUAUGGGUGGUCUAGGACGGCAAAGCUACACAACCCAGGUAAAGGUUUUAAAGGUAUUCUAAACCUGAUUCCCUUUUCUGACAUUGUUAUAUACAUAUAUACGCAUGGGUGUGUGCGUAUGGAUGGUUUUACUUGAUUUUAUAAAUGGCAUUAUUUUAUCCUUAGCCUGAGAUCAUGCUAGUGUUCACCCGUUAAUCCAUCAACUGCGGCUGUAUCCCCAUGCUAUGCAGGAAUCGACCGUUCUAGUCCUCUUACAUAGUGAUUGACUCGGGAAUCAAUAUUUGGAUUGAAGUGGUGAGCUUUCAUCCUUUUGGGAGCUCUAUUUCAUGUUACAAACAUUUUUUAGACACUUUGAUUUUAUUUUGGAUAGUGGUUUUGGCCAUGGUUGGGGACAUGUCCCAACCAGAUUUUAUUACUAUUUUUUUUAGAGGCUUCGUGGUUCUGCUAUAGGUUAGAAUGGGCAGGAUUGGUAUUGGUGUCAACCUUGGCAUUGGAAUAAGCUCGAGGGCUAACAUCACCGGACAUAAUUUCUCACUGUUCCAUCAUCUUUCAUUUUGGGAUUAAUUAUAUUAUGUUGUGGAACAUCCUUGGUUAUGGCCCGAUUUAUGGCCCAUGUCUUGGUAUUGGCUUGGUAUGGUUGGAUUGUUAGUGCAGAAAGGCUGGACUCAGUAUGGUCAGUUAUAGUUAUGACCUUAUACCAGAGUCUUCAUGUAAGAUGUUGCACUAUCUUGCUACUUGCUCAAAAUUCAGCCUACUCCGGGCAGGCGGCUGGAGGUUGGGUUGGGUAACGGGGGUGGUCUCCGUCCCGGUCGGACUUAGGAAGCCCAUUACAAUAAUUCCCCCAGCUGGAUCGCAUCAUUAAAGGUGGUGAAAAUUAGGUUGAAUAGAGAGGAGUCUAAUGUAAAGUAUGAUGUAUUAAAGCGCUUAGGGAAGACAACCAUUGUUACUGAAUAGAAUAGUUCCUACCCAUCCAUUAUUAUAACCCUUAAAGUCCUACUUAAUAUUCAGCGUUAAUAUUCUGAUAUAGAGUAAUACACUAAGGGAAAACUUAUGUUUCAUCUUAUGUGUCAUAUGAAUUCCUUGUGAGAGUGAGCAAAAUUUGAAUCUUACACACAUGUUUGUGAUGAAUUACAUAUUUGAGAGUGAAUCUAGAUGACUUUCUGUGGUAAGGGCACAUGUUUGAUGAUGAUUAGGUUAUUUGUAUGAUCUCUUUGUGGAGUACUAUGCAUCAGUGUGCCAACUUGGUAGAGUUAAUUUUAGAGGUUAGGAAUAUUUGAAGUAGUGUUCAUGAGUUUUUUAUUUGUAAUAUAACUUGCUUAAUGGGGAACUUGCUAUUCACAUAGUCGUUGUAGUUCUAGCUUGAGUAUCUUAGUUGUAGUAGUGCUUUUAGAGUGUUCCUUGAUGAUUCUUGAUGUAAAGGAUUUCUUGGAGGAAGAACAAGUCCCUAAGUGUGGGGUGAUGAUCUUAGGCGUAUUUAUACUCCUGAAUGUCAUUAUCUAUUCACAUUUAUCUUAGUUUCGAGGACUUCUUUAUGUGAUUAAUGACUUAUUAAGGGUUUAAUUGUGUAUUUAUAUGUUUAAUAACAUGUUUAGAGUGUUUAAGUUUCAAUUGAAACACGUUAAGAGUCAAAAAGAUCAAAUAGAGUUUAGGCGAGGAAACUAGUUACGCUAGCUUGAACUAUGCUAGGUUCUAGUGUACUUUAAUGAACUCUAUUGUGUUGUAUGAACUAAUUUUUGUUAUUUUAUGUUUUAGGAGACGAAUUUAGGUGAUUUGUAAGAUAAUUGAAGCCUACAAAUAAGUCCUAAGAAGUGGUAAAACAAGGAUCGAACGCACGACGAGAUAUGAUCCAAAUAGAGCAAAAUCGGGCACUUGAGAGUACCCCUUGCACCACACACCCCAUGGUAGGAUAGGGGUUCAUCACGACCCCUAGAGUGACCCCUUAAUUUAUUGUCCUCGUGUUGGGUGUGUUCCACAAUCCCAAAAGCAAAUUGGAGGCCUCGCGACGUGAGACAUCCUCUGGGGCGCCCAAAUCUUGAUUUUAAGCCUCAUAAGUGAGGGACAAUGUUGUCAAUUGAUAUAUUUCGUGUUGAGAUACCAAAGGACAACAUAAAACACUAUAAUUGAAUCAAUUAGUCACAAUCUCAUUUCAUCUUUGGAGCAAUACACGGAUUGGAGAGGAGACAAGCAAGCUAGGGGCUCAAACUAGGGUUCUUUGUUCUUAAAUACUUUCUUGUAGUUUUACUUAAUGAACUCAUCUAUGAUGAUUCUUUGUAAGAUUAUGAGUGGAUAAAAAACCUUAUUAUAGGUUUGAGUCUACUAACAUGAUUGUUUAAUUGUGGUUUAUAGUUAGUUUAGAUGUUUAUCAAGUAUGUGAUUGUUCUUAUGUUCUUGUUUUACUAUUCUAAAGUGCCAUGAACUUUAGCAUAAAUUAUGUCCCUAAAAUGAAUUGACCGUAGGAGUUGAGGGAUUGAAUGAAUAAUGUAAGGAGUGUGAACCAUAUCUUCAUUUAUUAGAAUCUAUUGUUAAAGCAUUAUUUGUGUUUAGGAUAGAGUUAUACCUAAACAUCUCACUUGGUUAAUGGAAUGGGAUGAUAGUUUAAUGCAUCUAAGUUAAAGACUCACAUCCUCUCUCAACAAUGUAGCUGUGAGAUUAAUUAGGGUAGAUGACUUAUAGGAUGACCAUUCCAAAGUUAUAAUAUCAACCCCGUAAACCAACAAUCAUGAUAAACACCAACACCGUCUAUAAAUCAUAGUUAUGCAUGAUAAUGUAGUAAUGUUCCAAUCCCUGAACUCUUUGUCUAUUGUUUACAAUACAAAUUUCAUACUAUUGCUCAUUUUUUCUAUUUAGUUUAUAAUUACCAAACUUAAUUUCUUAAUUGGUUACACUCGCACUUAUUUAAUCUCUUUAGUAACACUAGAAUCAGAUAGUUUUCUAAUCACCAAGUCCCUAUGGGAUGGAUAUUCGGCUCAUAAGAGUUACUUUACUACUUGGGUGAUCACGUACACUUGUGUGUUCGCUAGAAUGCAGCAAUGUUCUAAGUUCACUCUAUAUUGGUCCUGACAGUUUGGGUGACGGUUCAUUAGUGUCCUAGAGAGUCAUCAGCUAAGUUGUCACGUGACUUCGAUUGAGCAUCCAUUAUGUAUAUGCUUUAGUUAUUGACGUGACAAUUUGACAAGGUUCUGAUGGUUUGUCAGACAAGCCUUUACCCAUCUUUCAGCAUAAUUUCAUUCUUUUUGUCCUUAGCUCAAUUUUCUGUAAUUUAAACACUGAAGAACAUCAAAACCAUAAAUGUUUACCCAAAAAAUCCUAAUUAUCCUUCAUUAAAAGCAUCAAAAGUUCCAUUAUUAACUGGCACAUCAACGACCCAAAACAAUGAGACUAUAUUGGGAACCCUAGCUACAUAACAAGGCAUUUCUUAAGAGGAAGAAAGAUCGUCCCAUACCGACUAAGAUAUGAUCUCUCACUAUUGGACAAAUAGAAGGACAUAAUGUUUAGGGAAUUAGGAGGUACCACUACCCCUAUCAAGACAUAUCAAACACAUGUAUUCGAUAAAUAAACACCCCUCCCUUAUUACAAGAAAUAGAUUUUUUUCUCAUAAUUACCCUUUAAGUAAUAGAAAUAUCUUUAUUAUCAUACUUAAGUAUUAGCAUUUUCCUUUAGUUGUUUACUAUUUUCUCUUUAUGAUACUCGAGCUCGAUCAUAUUUGUAUUCUUGACUGAUAUGAUCUAACUAUGCCCACGCUAUGAGAUUUGCUCCUAAUCUCUAUUUGUCUAAUUUAUUUUGAUUUUUUAUUUGUUAUUUACUUUUCCGUAAAUAUUUACCACUAAUCCAAAGCUAAGACCGUAACACAAGCUCCUGAAUCACAAAUAAAUUCAAAUAUACCAAAAAUAAGGUAACUAGUUUGGCACCCUUCGUGGGGCCAGAUCAGCUGUGUGGUUUUCAACUUUGUCACCACUAAUUAGUUUUUGAAUUGUGUUUUUCUUUUUAGGGAAGUAGAUCAUGGCUGCCCACUUUGGAAACACCGAGUUCAGGGGUGAAGCAGGGACUGCAUCAAUGGGACUUACCUGGUGAGACUAAGCAUUUAGAGAUAGAGAAGAGACCCUAGCAUUAUCACAAAGAUUGGUAACCAGUCUAUUAAAGAAAAAAACCCUAUUAUUUAAGGUGAAGAAGCCAUGACAGGGCAAUGAUUUUAGGAUGAUUAUUGGGAAUAACAAUCUAGAUUCGCUAGUGAUAUCGAUGAAUGUAGACGAAUGCAAUGUAAAAAGGGUGAUGGUUGACCUGAGAGCUCUUCCAAAAUCAUUCACAAAGGAGUUUACAACUAGAUGGAGUCGAGUGCCACCAUACAAACCACGAUCGAAGCCCUAGUUGGGUUUAACAUGAAAUCAAGGUAAUUAGUGGUGAGGUAACAUUAGUGUCCAUAGUAAGUGUUGUAAAAAGCCCACUAUAUUUUAUAUUAUUGAUGGAGACAUAAGCUACACCAUCAUACUUGGAAGGUCAUGGAUUCAUGACAAAAAAUUCAUCUCAUCGAUAUACCACCGACUGAUUAAGUUUUCCAUCCCGUAUGGUGGAAAACAAAUAAGGAGGACCUGGCUCCCCUUGUGGAAGCAUUCAUAACUCAGUUGGCAAACCAAAAGUAGUCCUUUGGAUGAAAGCACCGGACAAACUUUUGGAGCCAUAAUCUGAGAAGAUGAAGUGGUAUGAGACUAUAGAGUCUAUUACAUCUUCGAUGAAAGGGACACUAUGAAUAGUAUUGUGGAAGAGCUCAAUAAAGUUUCCUUUUUAUUCUUGAUUACCUCAAGAAAAAAAUGUACUUGGGUUUGGGACAUAGUCCAGAGUCCAAAGCUGCUUACCUUAAUUUCCUAUAUGAUAAUUCCAACUAUUUUUCUUGGUCCCACCUUGAUAUUAUAGGUAUCUCUCCCAAGGUGGCAAUGCCUAAGCUUGGCAUAAACCCUGAUGUAAAGUCACUACAAUAAAGACGAUGGCCUAUGUCCAAAGUGAAUAACAAGUUCCUCAAGAGAGAGGUGGAUUGGUACUUAGGAUAGGUUUGGUAUGAGAAGUCAAGUAUCCCUCUUGGUUGGCGAAUGUUAUGGUGGUACCUAAGAAAUUAGGUAAGUUUAUAAGAGGCAUAGAUUUUAAAGAUAUGAACAAAACAUGCCCACAUGACUUCUUCCCCAUCCUAAACAUUGCUCAUAUGAUCAAUUCUAUAAUCAUAUGACCAAUGCUAUGAUCAGACAUGAAUAAUAAGCUUCCCUGAUGCAUAUUGCAGAUAUAACUAGAUCCAAAUAGAUAUGAAACAUCAAGAGAAAAUGUCCUUUCAAACUAACAAUGGUAAUUUUUGUUAUAAUGCGAUACCAUUUGACCCAAAAAAGGCGAGUAUGACUUACCAACAUUUAGUCAACCACAUAUUUGAAUAUCAUAUAGAAAAAUAAUGGAGGUAUAUAUUAAUACAUGCUCGUAAAAUUGCUAGAGACCUGGAAUCACCAAACGUAUCUCAGGAGGUAUUCACAAUAUUUAGAAAGUAAACGUGAAGCUAAAUUUUGAAAAGCAUGAAUUUGUGUAGGAUUAAGUAAGUUUUUAUUUUUCCUCAUGUCAAAUCAAGGAAUAGAGGUAAACCCAAAUAAAAUCCAUGCCAUCAAAAACAUACCAGAACAAAGGAUUAGGCCUUAAAUAGGAAGGGCCAUAUCGAAUAACCGACAUAGCUAGAAAAAGAUCCUAUCAACUGGCUGACCUUCAAGAAAACUACACAACAAUUGGGAUAUAUGUCACUUAAGGAGAUACUAAUUCUGAUCAAGAAACCUAUGCCAAGGCCUAUACUUUUUUCCUCUUAGAUCGGUCUCUUUUUUCUUUUAAGGUUUUUUGUUCAAUAAGGUUUUUAAUGAAGUAGGAUUCAAAAAGAACCCCCAAGGUAAAAUUUUUGAGGGAAAUAUGAAAUAGAAAUGACUAAGCAUAACUGAGAAUGCUAUAGCAAGCGUAUAGAAUGCUUACUAUUUACUCUUUUGUAAUUCAAUAUUCGGGCACGAUUAAAUGAAAAAGUUAUUAUUAUUUUUGUGCAUAUCAUGAUUGAAACAUAAUAGAAAGGUCUUCAAAUUGCCCAAAAGUUUUGACAUUCAAAGUAUUAGGAGACAUCCUAACUUGCAAAAAUGACACAGACAAAAAUCACACCAAAAAAGGUGUCAGCUGCAACCAACCUAUAAAAAGCAUGCUAGAAGACAAUAUAUAUGUAUGUAUAUAUGUAUGUAUGUAUAUAAUCAUGUGAUGCAUACAAUGAAGUAUAUAGGGCCCAACUGCCUGGUUCUUCGAUUCACUAUGCUUUUUAGAUGUAGAACCCUGCCUCCCGAAUAAAAGAAUGGAUUUAGUGGGACUUCCAUAAUAAAAAUUGAUUAGUGUCCACAACCAACCAUCAAAUAUGAGACAAUUUAGUAAUGGAUUUCAUUGCAAAACAAGCUAUCUACGCAAGCAAUAUUAAAUAUAAUGCUCAUCACCAUCGCACAAAAUAACAGUAAUAAUAAAAGAGAAGAGAAAUGACAAGAUAGCUUGAAUAGCACAACAUAACAUAAAUCCAGUACGACAAACUCUCAAAAAUAAAAUAAUGAAAGAAGACCCUAAGAUAGUUCAAAUUCUAGGAAAUAAAGAAAUAAAUAUUGGAAUGGACACAGGUUUCAGGUACCCUAGCCUAAGAGCCUGAUGCUUCUUCAAAUUGCCUCCGAAGGACGAGUCGUCUAGGGAAGAGGCCACUUCCGUAGGGUUGAAGGGUGAACCAAUAUUGAUAUGGUUAGCUGCUCAAACAUUUUAAAAUUCUUUCUCAAUCAAUAAAGGUUUGGCUAGAACCUUCUCAUGGAUACCCAACUUUUACACCCAAAUCUCUUCAUGACGGAUGCUCACAAAAUAGUCCAUCAUGGAUGAGCAUCGAGCCUAGAUCUUCUCUAACUUUCCUCGAAUGAACUUAACCUUCUCCAAUUUUUAGUAAAAGGUAUACUUUAACCAACCGACAAAUUUUACCUCCCCUAGAGAAGCUGUACUUCAGCCUGAGCUAUCACUCCUUCAACAAAUUUCUCUUUCAAAUGGGUGCACAGUUGUGAAUAAUUAUGAAAGUCCUGAUCAGUUAUUGUCUCUGCACUCUUGACUCUAUUAGAAAGAUUUUUAACUUUGAGGUUUAACUUUGCUUGUGUCUCCUUAUCUACAAAAGAGCAAUUCUUUGAGUUGCAAACCUUUUUUCUAAGGCAGUAAUCGUCUCCUUAAGUUUCCUCAUAUUUAUAUCCACCUAUUCUUAAGAAAGAGAUUCACACAUAUAAGGAUAAGCCCACCACAAAUAAAGAAAUGGAGAGAGAAAAAUUUAUAAAGAGUUUGACAAGCUCACCUGCGACAAAGACCUGGUGAUGCCCUUGAAAAGAGUCCUACGGGAGUAAAAAGCUCCAUACUUCCUCUACAGGGAAGUAAUCUGCCAAGUGAGUUAUGCAUCCCACUGGGGUCCUAUCAAAUUAGUAGAACUAGGGACUACAGGCAUAUCUGAAUAACUACCUCAUUGAUUCCAUCUGCAAGACAUGGAUCAAUAUGAGGCGGAAAGGGAUGAGACACCAAGGAUUGGUAUUUUGAGGCAAUAACUUUAGGAACAUCCAUCUAGGACGUACUCCCUCUAGUAGAGAAGAGACCCACUCAACUAUUACCUCUUAUUUGAGGAUAAAAAUCUCAUAUC
RNAcentral lists this long non-coding RNA (38914 nucleotides) under Capsicum annuum. RNAcentral's name for it is "long non-coding RNA (CANN_LNC015501)". The record is from RNAcentral. Lineage: Eukaryota; Viridiplantae; Streptophyta; Magnoliopsida; Solanales; Solanaceae.